GAAAGGAAAGGGGAAGAUCUGAAGAAGGUGGUACUUUUCUUUUCUAGAAGGACAUUCCUUGGCCAAAGUUCACCAUGGUCUGGUCUGUGUUCUUCCUUGCACUCCUCACUUACUGCACAGUCUUGGAAGGCAUUGAUGGUCAGUCCACUUGGACUCAGCCUCCCUCCAGCUCUGUGUCCCCAGGUGGAACCGUUACUCUUUCUUGUUCAACCACUCACAGUUCCUACUACAUUAGCUGGUAUCAACAGAAAGCAGGAGAAGGCCCUCGUUUUGUCCACUGUGAAGGAUGCAGCAGGGGAGAAGGGAUCCCUGAUCGGUUCACCGCCACCAGAUCUGGGAAUACAGGAUCUUUGACCAUCACCAAUGCAGAGGCUGGAGACGAGGCAGAUUAUUACUGUGGCAACUGGAACAGUGCAGCUACUGCGUUACACAGUGGUACAUUCUUAUGGGGAAGUGUGACAAAAACCUCCUCACUCCAUCUUCAGCCUGAAACCACAAGUAGCAACCCUUGA
Molecule: non-coding RNA, 512 nt
Organism: Thamnophis sirtalis
Lineage: Eukaryota; Metazoa; Chordata; Lepidosauria; Squamata; Natricidae
Source: the annotation of a RefSeq genome assembly